AUAUCAAUAAGCGCAGGAAAAGAAACCAACAGGGAUUCCCCUAGUAAUGGCGAAUGAAGCGGGAAAAGCUCAAAUUUGAAAUCUGGCUGUUAUGCAGUCCGAGUUGUAAUUUCGAGAGACAGCUUUGGCUUCCCACGCUGCCCAAGCUCCUUGGAACAGGACGUCACAGAGGGUGAGAAUCCCGUGUGUGGCAGCGGAAUGGGGGGCUGUGUAUAGCGUCUUCAAAGAGUCGAGUUGUUUGGGAAUGCAGCUCAAAAUGGGUGGUAAAUUUCAUCUAAAGCUAAAUAUUGGCGAGAGACCGAUAGCGAACAAGUAGAGUGAUCGAAAGAUGAAAAGAGCUUUGAAAAGAGAGUUAAACAGUAC
This 363-nucleotide ribosomal RNA is filed under the name uncultured fungus. RNAcentral's name for it is "eukaryotic LSU rRNA". It matches the Rfam family "Eukaryotic large subunit ribosomal RNA", at positions 40 to 398 of the family's 3401-position model. The record is from RNAcentral. Lineage: Eukaryota; Fungi.